UGACCUUAUUUCCUUGGCGUCCUCCAUCUC
RNAcentral lists this non-coding RNA (30 nucleotides) under Mus musculus (house mouse). Lineage: Eukaryota; Metazoa; Chordata; Mammalia; Rodentia; Muridae. The record is from RNAcentral.